RNAcentral lists this ribosomal RNA (429 nucleotides) under Chloroflexota bacterium. Its description in RNAcentral is "Chloroflexi bacterium partial 16S ribosomal RNA". It matches the Rfam family "Bacterial small subunit ribosomal RNA", at positions 355 to 776 of the family's 1533-position model. Lineage: Bacteria; Bacillati; Chloroflexota. The record is from RNAcentral.
UGGGGAAUAUUGCACAAUGGGCGCAAGCCUGAUGCAGCCAUGCCGCGUGUGUGAAGAAGGCCUUCGGGUUGUAAAGCACUUUCAGCGGGGAGGAAGGCGGUGAGGUUAAUAACCUCACCGAUUGACGUUACCCGCAGAAGAAGCACCGGCUAACUCCGUGCCAGCAGCCGCGGUAAUACGGAGGGUGCAAGCGUUAAUCGGAAUUACUGGGCGUAAAGCGCACGCAGGCGGUCUGUAAAGUCGGAUGUGAAAUCCCCGGGCUCAACCUGGGAAAUGCAUUGUAAACUGGAAGGCUAGAGUCUUGUAGAGGGGGGUAGAAUUCCAGGUGUAGCGGUGAAAUGCGUAGAGAUCUGGAGGAAUACCGGUGGCGAAGGCGGCCCCCUGGACAAAGACUGACGCUCAGGUGCGAAAGCGUGGGGAGCAAACAGG